CAAUAGCGUAUAUUAAAUUUGUUGCGGUUAGAAGGCUCGUAGUUGAAAUUUGCGCGUGUCCGAUUGGUCCAGCAAGUCUGCGCACUGAUUGGAUGCGUGCUUUGUCUGGGUUUGUGCGUGUGCUCCUUGAUUGGGGUGUGCGUGCGGCUCGCGACGAUUACUUUGAACAAAUUAGAGUGUUUAAAGCAGGCGGCAAUGCCGUGAAUACAUUAGCAUGGAAUAACGUAUAGGACUUUGGUUCUAUUUUGUUGGUUUUAGGGACCAAGGUAAUGAUUAAUAGGGACAGUUGGGGACAUUAAUAUUUAGUUGUCAGAGGUGAAAUUCUUAGAUUUACGAAAGAUUAACUUCUGCGAAAGCAUUUGUCAAAGAUGUUUUCAUUAA
Molecule: ribosomal RNA, 381 nt
Filed under: uncultured eukaryote
Lineage: Eukaryota
Description: partial 18S ribosomal RNA
Rfam family: Eukaryotic small subunit ribosomal RNA
Source: RNAcentral